RNAcentral lists this ribosomal RNA (2884 nucleotides) under Listeria monocytogenes. RNAcentral describes it as "bacterial LSU rRNA". It matches the Rfam family "Bacterial large subunit ribosomal RNA". The record is from RNAcentral. Lineage: Bacteria; Bacillati; Bacillota; Bacilli; Caryophanales; Listeriaceae.
UUGGUUAAGUUAGAAAGGGCGCACGGUGGAUGCCUUGGCACUAGGAGCCGAAGAAGGACGGGACUAACACCGAUAUGCUUUGGGGAGCUGUACGUAAGCGUUGAUCCAGAGAUUUCCGAAUGGGGGAACCCACUAUCUUUAGUCGGAUAGUAUCCUUACGUGAAUACAUAGCGUGAGGAAGGCAGACCCAGGGAACUGAAACAUCUAAGUACCUGGAGGAAGAGAAAGAAAAAUCGAUUUCCUGAGUAGCGGCGAGCGAAACGGAAAGAGCCCAAACCAAGAAGCUUGCUUCUUGGGGUUGUAGGACACUCUAUACGGAGUUACAAAAGAAAGUUAUAAAUGAAGCGGUCUGGAAAGGCCCGCCAAAGACGGUAACAGCCCGGUAGUUGAAAUGGCUUUCCCUCCAGAGUGGAUCCUGAGUACGGCGGAACAUGUGAAAUUCCGUCGGAAUCCGGGAGGACCAUCUCCCAAGGCUAAAUACUCCCUAGUGACCGAUAGUGAACCAGUACCGUGAGGGAAAGGUGAAAAGCACCCCGGAAGGGGAGUGAAACAGUUCCUGAAACCGUGUGCCUACAAGUAGUUAGAGCCCGUUAAUGGGUGAUAGCGUGCCUUUUGUAGAAUGAACCGGCGAGUUACGAUUUGUUGCAAGGUUAAGCGGAAAAAGCGGAGCCGUAGCGAAAGCGAGUCUGAAUAGGGCGCAUAAGUAACAGGUCGUAGACCCGAAACCAGGUGAUCUACCCAUGUCCAGGAUGAAGGUAAGGUAAUACUUACUGGAGGUCCGAACCCACGCACGUUGAAAAGUGCGGGGAUGAGGUGUGGGUAGCGGAGAAAUUCCAAUCGAACUUGGAGAUAGCUGGUUCUCUCCGAAAUAGCUUUAGGGCUAGCCUCGAGGUAAAGAGUCAUGGAGGUAGAGCACUGUUUGGACUAGGGGCCCUUCUCGGGUUACCGAAUUCAGAUAAACUCCGAAUGCCAUGUACUUAUACUCGGGAGUCAGACUGCGAGUGAUAAGAUCCGUAGUCGAAAGGGAAACAGCCCAGACCACCAGUUAAGGUCCCCAAAUAUAUGUUAAGUGGAAAAGGAUGUGGGGUUGCUUAGACAACCAGGAUGUUGGCUUAGAAGCAGCCACCAUUGAAAGAGUGCGUAAUAGCUCACUGGUCGAGUGACCCCGCGCCGAAAAUGUACCGGGGCUAAACAUAUUACCGAAACUGUGGAUGAACCUCUUUAGAGGUUCGUGGUAGGAGAGCGUUCUAAGGGCGGUGAAGUCAGACCGGAAGGACUGGUGGAGCGCUUAGAAGUGAGAAUGCCGGUAUGAGUAGCGAAAGAAGGGUGAGAAUCCCUUCCACCGAAUAUCUAAGGUUUCCUGAGGAAGGCUCGUCCGCUCAGGGUUAGUCGGGACCUAAGCCGAGGCCGAUAGGCGUAGGCGAUGGACAACAGGUAGAGAUUCCUGUACCAGUGCUAAUUGUUUAACCGAUGGGGUGACACAGAAGGAUAGGGAAUCGCACGAAUGGAAAUGUGCGUCCAAGCAGUGAGUGUGAGAAGUAGGCAAAUCCGCUUCUCGCGAAGCAUGAGCUGUGAUGGGGAAGGAAAUUAAGUACGGAAGUUCCUGAUUUCACGCUGUCAAGAAAAGCCUCUAGGAAGAGUAGUACUGCCCGUACCGCAAACCGACACAGGUAGAUGAGGAGAGAAUCCUAAGGUGAGCGAGAGAACUCUCGUUAAGGAACUCGGCAAAAUGACCCCGUAACUUCGGGAGAAGGGGUGCUCUAUUAGGGUGCAAGCCCGAGAGAGCCGCAGUGAAUAGGCCCAGGCGACUGUUUAGCAAAAACACAGGUCUCUGCAAAACCGUAAGGUGACGUAUAGGGGCUGACGCCUGCCCGGUGCUGGAAGGUUAAGAGGAGUGCUUAGCUUCGGCGAAGGUACGAAUUGAAGCCCCAGUAAACGGCGGCCGUAACUAUAACGGUCCUAAGGUAGCGAAAUUCCUUGUCGGGUAAGUUCCGACCCGCACGAAAGGCGCAACGAUCUGGGCACUGUCUCAACGAGAGACUCGGUGAAAUUAUAGUACCUGUGAAGAUGCAGGUUACCCGCGACAGGACGGAAAGACCCCGUGGAGCUUUACUGCAACCUGAUAUGGAAUGUUUGUACCGCUUGUACAGGAUAGGUAGGAGCCGAAGAGACGUGUGCGCUAGCAUACGAGGAGGCAAUGGUGGGAUACUCCCCUGGCUGUAUGACCAUUCUAACCCGCCACGCUUAGCGCGUGGGGAGACAGUGUCAGGUGGGCAGUUUGACUGGGGCGGUCGCCUCCUAAAGAGNGUAAAGGCACAAGGGAGCUUGACUGCGAGACUGACAAGUCGAGCAGGGACGAAAGUCGGGCUUAGUGAUCCGGUGGUUCCGCAUGGAAGGGCCAUCGCUCAACGGAUAAAAGCUACCCCGGGGAUAACAGGCUUAUCUCCCCCAAGAGUCCACAUCGACGGGGAGGUUUGGCACCUCGAUGUCGGCUCGUCGCAUCCUGGGGCUGUAGUCGGUCCCAAGGGGUGGGCUGUUCGCCCAUUAAAGCGGCACGCGAGCUGGGUUCAGAACGUCGUGAGACAGUUCGGUCCCUAUCCGUCGCGGGCGCAGGAAAUUUGAGAGGAGCUGUCCUUAGUACGAGAGGACCGGGAUGGACACACCGCUGGUGUACCAGUUGUUCCGCCAGGAGCAUCGCUGGGUAGCUAUGUGUGGCAGGGAUAAACGCUGAAAGCAUCUAAGCGUGAAGCCCCCCUCAAGAUGAGAUUUCCCAUUUCUUCGGAAAGUAAGAUCCCUGAAAGAUGAUCAGGUAGAUAGGUUUGGAGUGGAAGUGUAGCGAUACAUGGAGCGGACAAAUACUAAUCGAUCGAGGACUUAACCAAAA